GAAAACUCUGAGUAUCAUAUGCAGUUCUUUGCAAUGGGUUUAUGAUCCGAGGCAACAGGAGAAGGACAGAGCAAAAGCUAAACCUGAUCGGAAUCAAAGUCAAAGAGAUGAUGGUGAAAGCGGCUCAGAUGAUGAACCUGAUUGGAUGAGAAACUUUGUUGCUAACAAAGACGUUCAAAAACAGGAGAAGAAAGUGAAGAAGAAAUUUGGUUUAUGAAAAUCAAAUGAGAGAAAGAAUCAAGAUGCAGAAAUUAUUCCGCGUGUUUUGGAAGGGGAAGAUUUUCAUGUGAAAAAAGAUUAGGUGGGUUUGAAUGAUAAGGAGUUUUGUUGGAAGAUUAUGUAACAUGAAGUCAGUCUUGGCAGUGGGAAAUCAAAGAGGAAAGCUGGAGCGAGUUUAGUUAGUUCAUCGAGCAAUGAGGAAAAGGAAAAAGAUGGGUCUGAUGAGGAGGAGGAAAAGGAGUUGAAGAUUUAUUUUUGUAGCCAAACGCAUUUGCAGCUCUCACAGUUCAUUAAGGAGUUGAGAAAGACCAGUUUUACCAAUGAAGUAAAAGUUGUAUGUUUGGGAUCUAGAAAGAAUUUCUGCAUUAAUGAAGAUGUUCUAAAACUUGGAAAUGCCACUCGCAUUAAUGAACAAUGCUUGGAGCUUCAAAAGAGCAGAAAAAAUGAAGUCUCCAAAAUUAAGAAUAUAGGUGUGAAGGGAAGAUUACGCCGAACCAAGGCUUCUUCUGGAUGCCCAAUGCUUAGAAAACAUAAGCUACAAAGGCAAUUUAGAAAUGAGAUUUCUCAACUUGGAGCACUGGAUAUUGAAGAUCUUGUUCAACUUGGAAGAAGUAUGGGAACUUGUCCAUAUUAUGGCUCCCGAAGCAUGGUCCCAGCAGCUGAUCUUGUGGUUCUCCCAUAUCAAUCUCUUCUAUCAAAAUCAUCACGUGAAUUUCUAGGACUGAACUUGAAGAACAGUAUUGUUAUAAUAGACGAGGCUCAUAAUCUUGCUGACUCCUUGAUCAGCAUGCAUGAUGCAAAAAUUACAUUUUUAGAGUUGGAUCAUGUGCAUUCUCUCAUAGAAAAGUACUUUGCAAGAUUUCGC
RNAcentral lists this unclassified non-coding RNA (1084 nucleotides) under Hevea brasiliensis (rubber tree). Lineage: Eukaryota; Viridiplantae; Streptophyta; Magnoliopsida; Malpighiales; Euphorbiaceae. The record is from RNAcentral.